CCCGACUGCUAUCGGAUGGGGAUUAGGCAUGUUUUUUGUGCGUCCCUUGGCUACAGGGGACGCACCGUACGGCUCAGUAACGGGUAGUCGACCUGCCCUGCUAGACUCGGACAAACCCGGGAAACUGGGGCCUAUCCGCUAUAGAUGGCCUCCUCUGGAAGGAGAGGCCGCUGAAAAGGGCGCACGGGUAUGCUCUAUGCGCUCCGGUUUCAGAUGGCGACUGCUGCCGAUCUGGCAGUUGGCGGGGUAAUGGCCCACCUUACCUGUUAGCGGGUUUCGGGCUUCUGACAGAUGGGGGCCGCGAGAUGACCACUCAAGAUAGGGGUUCACGCCCCUACGGGGCGACAUUAUGGGACGAAAAGCUUUCCUUCGGUGCGCCGAAAGCGGUUACCAGGCCUAUUUCCGCGUGUCCCCCUGCUUACCGGGCAGCAUCUCCCUGGGCGUAGCUAG
This 450-nucleotide ribosomal RNA is filed under the name uncultured archaeon. RNAcentral's name for it is "bacterial SSU rRNA". The stretch from base 38 to 344 matches the Rfam family "Archaeal small subunit ribosomal RNA", at positions 57 to 332 of the family's 1478-position model. The record is from RNAcentral.